AGCAGCCGCGGUAAUUCCAGCUCCAAUAGCGUAUAUUAAAGUUGUUGCAGUUAAAAAGCUCGUAGUUGAAUUUCGGGAUCAAUAUAUUGGUCGUGCCUCCGGUACGUACUGGUAUCGUUGAUUUCUACCUUCUGACGAAACCAUGAUGUCAUUAAUUUGGUGUCAUGGGAAAUCAGGACUGUUACUUUGAAAAAAUUGAGUGUUUAAAGCAGGCACACGCUUGAAUACAUUAGCAUGGAAUAAUGAAAUAGGACGUUCGAUUCCUAUUUUGUUAGUUUCUAGGAUUGACGUAAUGAUUAAUAGGGACAGUUGGGGGCAUUAGUAUUCAAUUGUCAGAGGUGAAAUUCUUGGAUUUAUUGAAGACUAACUACUGCGAAAGCAUUUGCCAAGGAUGUCUUCAUUAAUCAAGAACGAAAGUUAGGGGAUCGAAGACGAUCAGAUAUCGUCGUAGUCUUAACCAUAAACUAUGCCGACUAGGGAUCGGGAUGAUUGUUAAUUUUUAANGACUCU
This 510-nucleotide ribosomal RNA is filed under the name uncultured Glomus. RNAcentral describes it as "SSU rRNA". It matches the Rfam family "Eukaryotic small subunit ribosomal RNA", at positions 569 to 1082 of the family's 1831-position model. Lineage: Eukaryota; Fungi; Glomeromycota; Glomeromycetes; Glomerales; Glomeraceae. The record is from RNAcentral.